AGCUACAGGCUUAACACAUGCAAGUCGAGGGGCAGCAUUUUAGUUUGCUUGCAAACUGAAGAUGGCGACCGGCGCACGGGUGAGUAACACGUAUCCAACCUGCCGAUAACUCCGGGAUAGCCUUUCGAAAGAAAGAUUAAUACCGGAUAGCAUACGAAUAUCGCAUGAUAUUUUUAUUAAAGAAUUUCGGUUAUCGAUGGGGAUGCGUUCCAUUAGUUUGUUGGCGGGGUAACGGCCCACCAAGACUACGAUGGAUAGGGGUUCUGAGAGGAAGGUCCCCCACAUUGGAACUGAGACACGGUCCAAACUCCUACGGGAGGCAGCAGUGAGGAAUAUUGGUCAAUGGGCGCGAGCCUGAACCAGCCAAGUAGCGUGAAGGAUGAAGGCUCUAUGGGUCGUAAACUUCUUUUAUAUGGGAAUAAAGUUUUCCACGUGUGGAAUUUUGUAUGUACCAUAUGAAUAAGGAUCGGCUAACUCCGUGCCAGCAGCCGCGGUAAUACGGAGGAUCCGAGCGUUAUCCGGAUUUAUUGGGUUUAAAGGGGGCGUAGGUGGAUUGUUAAGUCAGUUGUGAAAGUUUGCGGCCCAACCGUAAAAUUGCAGUUGAAACUGGCAGUCUUGAGUACAGUAGAGGUGGGCGGAAUUCGUGGUGUAGCGGUGAAAUGCUUAGAUAUCACGAAGAACUCCGAUUGCGAAGGCAGCUCACUAGACUGUCACUGACACUGAUGCUCGAAAGUGUGGGUAUCAAACAGGAUUAGAUACCCUGGUAGUCCACACAGUAAACGAUGAAUACUCGCUGUUUGCGAUAUACAGUAAGCGGCCAAGCGAAAGCAUUAAGUAUUCCACCUGGGGAGUACGCCGGCAACGGUGAAACUCAAAGGAAUUGACGGGGGCCCGCACAAGCGGAGGAACAUGUGGUUUAAUUCGAUGAUACGCGAGGAACCUUACCCGGGCUUAAAUUGCAACAGAAUAUAUUGGAAACAGUAUAGCCGUAAGGCUGUUGUGAAGGUGCUGCAUGGUUGUCGUCAGCUCGUGCCGUGAGGUGUCGGCUUAAGUGCCAUAACGAGCGCAACCCUUAUCUUUAGUUACUAACAGGUCAUGCUGAGGACUCUAGAGAGACUGCCGUCGUAAGAUGUGAGGAAGGUGGGGAUGACGUCAAAUCAGCACGGCCCUUACGUCCGGGGCUACACACGUGUUACAAUGGGGGGUACAGAAGGCGGCUACCUGGUGACAGGAUGCUAAUCCCAAAAACCUCUCUCAGUUCGGAUCGAAGUCUGCAACCCGACUUCGUGAAGCUGGAUUCGCUAGUAAUCGCGCAUCAGCCAUGGCGCGGUGAAUACGUUCCCGGGCCUUGUACACACCGCCCGUCAAGCCAUGAAAGCCGGGGGUACCUGAAGUACGUAACCGCAAGGAGCGUCCUAGGGUAAAACUGGUAAUUGGGGCUAAGUCAUA
RNAcentral lists this ribosomal RNA (1449 nucleotides) under uncultured organism. Its description in RNAcentral is "SSU rRNA". It matches the Rfam family "Bacterial small subunit ribosomal RNA". The record is from RNAcentral.